CUGAUUAAUAGUAUUAAAUGGCCGCGGUAUUUUGACCGUGCAAAGGUAGCAUAAUCGUUAGUUUUUUAAUUGGAAUCUUGUAUGAAUGGUUGGACAAAAGAAGAUCUGUCUUUGUAUUGCUUAUUGAAUUUUACUUUUAAGUGAAAAGGCUUAAAUGUAUUAAAGGGACGAUAAGACCCUAUAAAGCUUAAUAUUAAAUUUUAUAUAGUCAAAUUUUAAAUUAUAAAGAUUUUGUAAAUUGAAUUUAUUUUAUUGGGGCGAUAAGAGUAAAAUGAUUAUUAACUGCUUAACAUUAAGUACACUUAUAUGUGAUUAAAAUUUUAAAUGAUCCUAAUUAAAGAUUAAAAGUUUAAGUUACUUUAGGGAUAACAGCGUUAUUUUUCUUAAGAGUACUUAUCGAAAGAAAAGUUUGCGACCUCGAUGUUGAAUUAAAAUAUCU
This 439-nucleotide ribosomal RNA is filed under the name Eriocheir sinensis (Chinese mitten crab). Its description in RNAcentral is "partial 16S ribosomal RNA". It matches the Rfam family "Bacterial large subunit ribosomal RNA", at positions 1908 to 2547 of the family's 2925-position model. The record is from RNAcentral. Lineage: Eukaryota; Metazoa; Arthropoda; Malacostraca; Decapoda; Varunidae. RNAcentral also lists the same sequence under 1 other name.